GAUGCACGCUGGCUACAGGCUUAACACAUGCAAGUCGAGGGGAAACGACGGGGAAGCUUGCUUCCCCGGGCGUCGACCGGCGCACGGGUGAGUAACGCGUAUCCAACCUGCCUCUGACUGAGGGAUAACCCGUCGAAAGUCGGCCUAAUACCUCAUGGUAUCGUCUGCGGGCAUCCAACGACGAUUAAAGAUUUCAUCGGUCAGGGAUGGGGAUGCGUCUGAUUAGCUUGUUGGCGGGGUAACGGCCCACCAAGGCUACGAUCAGUAGGGGUUCUGAGAGGAAGGUCCCCCACAUUGGAACUGAGACACGGUCCAAACUCCUACGGGAGGCAGCAGUGAGGAAUAUUGGUCAAUGGGCGAGAGCCUGAACCAGCCAAGUAGCGUGCAGGAAGACGGCCCUAUGGGUUGUAAACUGCUUUUAUGCGGGGAUAAAGUGAGGGACGUGUCCCUCAUUGCAGGUACCGCAUGAAUAAGGACCGGCUAAUUCCGUG
RNAcentral lists this ribosomal RNA (491 nucleotides) under uncultured bacterium. Its description in RNAcentral is "partial 16S ribosomal RNA". It matches the Rfam family "Bacterial small subunit ribosomal RNA", at positions 28 to 507 of the family's 1533-position model. The record is from RNAcentral.